Molecule: long non-coding RNA, 793 nt
Organism: Salvia miltiorrhiza (redroot sage)
Lineage: Eukaryota; Viridiplantae; Streptophyta; Magnoliopsida; Lamiales; Lamiaceae
Exons: 3
Source: RefSeq, a predicted model, not a curated record
CUUAUUCCUCGUAAAGGCAAUUUGUCACAGUUUAGAAAAUUUCUAAAUUAUCUUCUAAUCUAGAUCAAGAUUCUAUAACAAUUCAAGAUUUCAAACUGAAUUAGUCCAAUUCUUGUUCAAUUUCAGAAUUUGGGAAGUCAAUUCUUGUUUCUCUGCCUUCUUGUGCAUCGAGACAGGGGAGGGAGUGAGAGCAGUCGGCGGCUGCUCACGGCCAGCGACGGCGCGGUGGUGGCAGCCGCCAUUUCCUUUCCUGCCAAACAAAAAAAAAGGGUAGAGAGAGUGAUUAAUUGAGUUUUAGAUUUAGAAAAGAGAGAAAAGGGGGAUAAGUAGGAAAGGGGAAAGGACUUAUCUUCUCCAGCAGAGAUGGCGGCGACGCGACGGCUGAAGCAGCAACGCGGUGGCGGAAGUAGACGGCGGCGAUGCGACGGCUGGUCUUCGGCGGCAGCCACAUGCAGCGCUUUCGGCGAGUCAAAAUGAGGAAUUGAGAAGGAGAGUGAGAAAGGUGGAGAAAGAAUAGAGAAGGGAGGGAAGGAGGCGGCGCGCCGGAGGCGACGCCGCCCUCAGCCGAACAAAGAGGGAGAGACGAGAGAGGGAGCCGAGAGGGAGCCGAGAGAGAGAGAGAGGCGUGCAGUGUGUGUGUGUGUGUGUUAUGUAAGUUGUGUGUGUGUAAUGUGUUUAUAUGUAUUAGGGUUAGGCUAGAUAAUGAGCUCAUGUUUUAUUUUAUUUGGGCUUCUUUAUUUAUUAUGUUUGGGCCGAAAUUUUAAUUAAAAGUUGACUGGGCUCCUUUUAUUUU